Molecule: long non-coding RNA, 997 nt
Organism: Conger conger (European conger)
Lineage: Eukaryota; Metazoa; Chordata; Actinopteri; Anguilliformes; Congridae
Exons: 3
Source: RefSeq, a predicted model, not a curated record
GCCGUCUGAAAAUCCUGCAGAUGAGGUCCUGUACAGCUCAGUCAUCCUGAAAAAUCUACAGACCACACACUCAUCUCACCGUUCUGCAGCAGAUAGUGAUGUGAUUUACAGCUCAGUUACCGGGCAGAAAACACAGUAGGGGGCAGCAACGUGACGAAAGACUACGUCCCAACAGGAAUUUUGUCCACAAGCCCGAAGGAAGAGGCCUGGAUGUUCAGCAACGUGUGGAACCUGAGGAUUCCUAUUUCAGAGCAUCAAAUACAGCUAGUCACCCCAUUACAAAUAUUUGACUCUUUUUUCUCAACUGGACAAAAAAAGACACCAUCAUUUUCCUAACUUCAAAAGGAACUAUCGCCCUCUGUUGGACAGAUUAGAACACAUUUUUCCUCGGCGAUUAAAAUAAACCCAAAGCAUUCCAAACACUCCCAGUAGCGCUAACAAAUUGUAAUUACAAUUACAAAUUACCUGUACACUUUCAAAAAAUAUUAUUGAAAACAACAACAUUACCAAUGAAAAGCCAUUUGAUGUGUGGAAAAUCUGUAUAAAUCGUAUGUAACUGUAUGAAUCCUGUUAGUUUAAAGUAUAAUUCAUAAAUAUUUAGUAAAUGGUAAUGAUAGUUAUCCUUCUCUGGUCACUGAGAGAGCCCAGACUACAGAGAACGAGGGACCAAAGAGGUGGGGACUGAGAGGAACAGGAAGUGAGACUCACGCUAAAGGGAGCUGGAGUCUCUAACAGACACACACACCCAUCAGGCACAUAUGGCUCUCACUCUGAUACUCUUCCUCUCCAUCCUCUUCCUCACUGUGCUGCCAGGUAGGACUCGUUUCUCACACUGUAUACUGAACUCUGGAGCAUUGUAGCAGAGAGACUGUCUGUGCCAUGAACUUGAAUGAAUGAGUAAUACUGAAGCAUGGAGUUUACAUAAUACAUUAUAGGACUAAUGUGAUUAGAAUGCACUCAGUGAGCACUUUAUUAGGUAGACAUGUACACCAGCUUG